This 79-nucleotide transfer RNA is filed under the name Sphaerodactylus townsendi. RNAcentral's name for it is "tRNA-Val". Lineage: Eukaryota; Metazoa; Chordata; Lepidosauria; Squamata; Sphaerodactylidae. The record is from RNAcentral.
GGGCAGGAGCUGUGAUUCAGUAGUAAAGCAUCUGAUUAACAUGCAGAAGGUCCCGGGUUCAAUUCCUGGCACCUGAUCA